CAUGCCCUGGAGUUUCCACAUAAGAUUAAGCAUUUGUAAGGUUGGGUGUUAUUCCUUUGUGGAAAAUGCUCCCACAAUGGAAGCAGUAGUUGAAGGUACCAGACACGAUGUUUUUUGAUGAAUGUGAGGCAAAGACAUGGAAAGGUGCAAAACAUGAACAGCAUGAACAUACGCCACAGUACCAAAGAGCAAGUGUAACAGACUUCCUGGCUAAUGAGUGUUCUCCACAGAAACACAGGAUUAUAUCCUGAAAAGGGCGUCAUGCUUCCAUUUUUGCUUCAUGCCUCUUAUUUUCUCUCAGUUGAAUAUGCCUUCUUAGUUUUUGCUAGCUUAUGUUGAGCUUCAGAAGAGUAACGUGCUGGCUGCAUGGAUGCUGUAGUGGGCCAGUAAGAGUAAAAUGAAGAUCUAAAAAAGAAAAAUUUUUAAAAGCCAAAUACAGACUUUCCCUCUCAAAAAGGGAGUUACUCUAGACUGAACAAAUAAAGCCAUGAAACCAAAUUGUGCCUUCUAGAAAUAGAAUAAUAAAGGUUUUUCCCUUAUGCUCUUCUCCUAUUACAUCAAAUGAUGAUGGCAGCAUCAGGAAGAAGAAAACUGGAUGAUUCUUCAUGUGCUGCUCCCUUCUGUCUCCCUUCUUGUUCAAGCUGCACAAGAAACCUCUGCAGAACCAUAUGCUCUUCUGGUCCCUUGGAUCCUGUAAGGCUUCAAGACCCAGCCUAGGGGCUUAAUGAGGAAGCAAGUCAGGGCUUAAGCCAAGAAUUAACUAACAAGAAUAUAGGAUCCUUAUGUGGAAAGCACUGAAUAUAUUUUGAAUGCUGUCAGAACAUGACAAAGCUGACGAGACAGCUGGUUUAUCACAGAUGUGAAUGCAGUAAUGCCUUUGCUGCAGUUAAAGGUAGGCAGUGGGAAAGCACAAAGAACUCUACAGUGGUAUCUGUCCUUAACAUUCAGUUUGUUUUCUGAAUGUAAGACUUCAGAUCUCAUAGCUGCCAAAAUAGCACCUCUGACAAAUGCUGAAAAAUGACCCAUCUGAAAUAUGAAAAGCAAAAGCAGAAGGUAAGUUUCACUCCAAAUAAAACAGUAUUGACAAAUACAAAAAUCUGUUCAAACCCCUUCCCCUUCUUUGUUUUUUCAAGUUGCAAAGUGAAUAAAUUAGAAAGAAAUAGUAUUGUUAUGAAUGCGAACUACACUUCCUUCAUAAAGGCACUGGGAAAGUUCCAUCCUCAUGACCCCUUUAAAAGCCAGUUAAAUUAGUUGUUUAACAAAUACAUGCUAAAAGUGGCAGGAACAUGAGAUACAGAUUGUGUGCUUUGGACACCAACCUAGGAAAGCUAUAUACCUGCCCGACAUGUCUCUUCCAGCUGUGCUUUGUGCAGAGCAUUUAGCAAGGCAGGCUCACAGUGGUAGAUGAAGCUGCUUAACAACUGAACGUUGAGUUUUCCCAAGCCUUUGUCAUUGUGUAUUUUCUAUUAUUUCUAUUGUGUAUUUCUACAUAUUUUCAAAAGAACUUGGAGAGGUCUGCCAAACAGCAUUAUUUUAACUUAUAACACAAAACCCUUCAAGAGGCAGAAAAGCAGUUUAUUUUAUAAAGACCUCAAAAAUAAAUUCCAAACAGGCUGACAAAACCACAGUGGCAAGUUCUGGUAUUUAAAAAUUAAUUUAUUUUAGUGAAUAAAAGGUGCAUGGACAAAACAUGUUGGGUUUUGGUUUAUUGUUUGGUUUUUGGUUUGUUUUUUUUUAAUAUACAGCAAGUUUAUCAUGAAGGAGAACAUCAAAAUAAUCCAUCCUUUCACAAUUGUGUUUUCCAAUGAUCAGUGUGAGUGGGUAACUGCACAGAUAUUUAAUGGGCAGAUGUUACAAAGUCAUGUUAACAGGUAUGUGCAACAAAUACCUUUUUUUCCUACUGUACUUACAAAUGUGUGGCAAGUAACUGUCAUUGUAUUACUAGUAAAGGGCUGUUCUUGUUUUCCUGACAAAAAAAAAGCAAACCUCAACUGUAAAUAAGAAAUGUAAUAUGACAUUGUGAAAGCUCAGACUGUAAUGGUUAAGGCAGAGGAUUAGAGAUCAAGUUUCUUAAAAUGUAUUUCUGCCCAGGCUGGUGUAGUUUAUGAACUGUGGCAACAUUUUCAAGCUUCUCUGAGCUGCCUCUCUAAUGGAAAUAUUUAUUUCACAAGUGUGUAGAAAAGCCAAAUACCAAGGGAAGGAAAAACACUGGCAUGCAAAAUGAAGCUGAAACUUGGUAUAGGUUCUUACAUUAGGAACAGCCAGGAGCUGAUCAUGCCAAAGCUCUUGAUGCUCUGGCCUCAGCAGCAGAAACUUCAGCUCCUUUUUAAGCCUUUCUGACAAUGUUUUGGAAUGUGCAUAAUCCACUAUGGCAUGUAUUAUUGUUGUUCCAGGGAGAUUUUGCAGAGGCAACCUUCUCCAGCAGUUAUUCCUGCCACCAGGGUACACAGGGCUUUCAACCAGAUUACUGGUAGGCUGUAAGAGAACAAUACAACUACAGGAAAGAGAAUAUAUUUGUGUUGUUCUUCUCUAUAAAGGUUUUCCCAUUCAUUUUAAUCAGUCAGAUCAAUCACUUCAAAGAUUGAAGAAAAAAAAUGCACUGAAGAUGCUGGAGCAGAUAAAAUUGUUUGGUUAAAAAACCCCAAACCAACCAUCUGUUCUUAAGGUAUUUACAUCUGUAUUACAUAAUUGUAUCAAUAAUUGUGCUGUCACCAAAUAUAAACUGAUCACAAAAAUAUGUAUUUAUAAUAUAUGCACCAUUGUAUGUCCAUAAACAAUUGGAAUUUUCUUUACUGUUCUUGUACCAAACUUAAAAAGAGAAUGCACUUGAAAUAUUCUUACAUCUCUCCUCUGUAAAAUUGGGUAACAACUGGCUCCAGCCACAGCCUGGGACUUCACUUUGGUUGAGAACUAGCAAGAGCAGGCAGCAUUAUUCACCUCAGUGCCAUGACUCCUCUCAUUGCUUUCCUGUCAUUUUGAGCUUUGAAAAUGUUCUUUCUCUAACUCCUUGAGGAUGAAUAAAAUCUAUCACAAAAUGUGA
This is a long non-coding RNA of Pezoporus occidentalis (night parrot), 3040 nucleotides long. RefSeq lists it as uncharacterized. NCBI's taxonomy places the organism in Eukaryota, Metazoa, Chordata, Aves, Psittaciformes, Psittacidae. The record is from RefSeq and is a predicted model, not a curated record. The transcript has 2 exons.